Molecule: transfer RNA, 69 nt
Filed under: Bos taurus (domestic cattle)
Lineage: Eukaryota; Metazoa; Chordata; Mammalia; Artiodactyla; Bovidae
Also listed under: 2 other names
Rfam family: tRNA
About the family: Transfer RNA (tRNA) molecules are approximately 80 nucleotides in length. Their secondary structure includes four short double-helical elements and three loops (D, anti-codon, and T loops). Further hydrogen bonds mediate the characteristic L-shaped molecular structure. tRNAs have two regions of fundamental functional importance: the anti-codon, which is responsible for specific mRNA codon recognition, and the 3' end, to which the tRNAs corresponding amino acid is attached (by aminoacyl-tRNA synthetases). tRNAs cope with the degeneracy of the genetic code in two manners: having more than one tRNA (with a specific anti-codon) for a particular amino acid; and 'wobble' base-pairing, i.e. permitting non-standard base-pairing at the 3rd anti-codon position.
Source: Rfam by way of RNAcentral
CCAGGUGGCUCAGACAGUAAAGUGUCUGCCUGCAAUGCAGGAGACCUGGGUUUGAUUCCUGGGUCUGGA